UUCUUUUCUAAGAGUUGCCUUGGCCAUGGUGAAUCAUCACAGCAAUAGAACAGUGAAUGAGACACCCAUUCUAAAUUUUUGAAGCCACAAGCACCCCCAUCCCGGUCACCAGCCUUGCCUGGCCUAGAAAUUUCAGAGUUCACAGCCGAGUCCCAUUGCCUCAUGAAGGAUCUCGCUGUGGCAAGACUUCCAGCACCGCGCAUGGAGCCAGCAUUGUGAACUUCCUCGCUGAAGUGGGCUUCCUCUGACCCAGACAAAGACGUGAUUUUCCCAGCUAUUCCCAUAACCCCGGCCUUUAACCCUGGAGUGACACAUAAAUGAUAUUCUGAGAUAUAAAGCAGUCUGAAAACAUCUGGGAUUUCCAGCGGCUACAAAGUCACAGGUGCUGUCAAUGCUAUCGUGGCCUGAUGCCCAAGUACAUAAGGGAAUGCUAAACUUGUCACAGGAAGUCAAGGGAGCCCCAAAGCAGGGAGGCGAGGAUGCGGACACUGUUGGAAGCCGACGCUACUCACUGGAGGCGCAGCAGACGAACACCUUCAUCCUCAGACACUUCCAGUGCAGAUUGUGAGUGGGCGUGGCUGGGGAGGAGACUGGGCCUGAGUUGCUUUCACUCACUGGUGCCCUUGCGACCUUACGCUUAGACUCCCCCCCCCCCCGCCCCAAAUUGCCCGCAUCCGGCUAUGUCCUGGGGUAACUGCUCCAUCCUUUGGACAGUGGUCACCAUGGCUCUGUGGCCAGCUCAACCCAGAAUGCCCGGAACAGAAAUGCUCUGAGGCCCAAAUUUGAGGCUGUCACCAAGCCCCCACUCCAAUCCUCACAACUCUGAAGCCUUAUCCCUGGUGAAGACCACAUCGGCCGACCGGCCGGGGAUCCCCGGGACCCUACCCUGUCACUCAAAAGACCGAGGACCCGGCACUCACAGAUAUAGUAAUAUUCUUGGCCGGCAUGGAAUUCAUAUCCCAGCGAGAAGGCGCUGUAGCGCUGGAACUUCUCGGAGAACUUGAUGGGGCUGUGCGAGGCGUGCUGCCGGUUGCAUUCCCAGCGCUUGGAGCCUUGACUGGCGUUGCAGGUGCGGUAGCCACUCAGGUUCACCAUGUACAGCACGUACUGCUCCGCCUCGCCGCCAGGCCCUGAGCUAUUGUAGUGCGGACAGUAAAUAUCCAGAUAGUCGUUCACGUUCACCUGCACCGUGUAGCCCUCUCGCCGCAGGCUGUGGACAAAUGAAGCGGUCAAAGAAAGCCCAAUGCUCUAAGGUUUUCCAUGUUACCACUUCGCAGACCUUCAU
Long non-coding RNA from Arvicola amphibius (Eurasian water vole), 1285 nucleotides. RefSeq lists it as uncharacterized. The transcript is spliced from 3 exons. The record is from RefSeq and is a predicted model, not a curated record. NCBI's taxonomy places the organism in Eukaryota, Metazoa, Chordata, Mammalia, Rodentia, Cricetidae.